GUGUCAGCCGCCGCGGUAAUACGUAGGGUGCGAGCGUUAAUCGGAAUUACUGGGCGUAAAGCGUGCGCAGGCGGUUCGUUGUGUCUGGUGUGAAAGCCCCGAGCUUAACUUGGGAAUGGCAUUGGAAACUGGCGAGCUGGAGUGCGGCAGAGGGGGGUGGAAUUCCACGUGUAGCAGUGAAAUGCGUAGAGAUGUGGAGGAACACCGAUGGCGAAGGCAGCCCCCUGGGCCGACACUGACGCUCAGGCACGAAAGCGUGGGGAGCAAACAGGAUUAGAAACCCCAGUAGUCC
RNAcentral lists this ribosomal RNA (292 nucleotides) under uncultured bacterium. RNAcentral describes it as "partial 16S ribosomal RNA". It matches the Rfam family "Bacterial small subunit ribosomal RNA", at positions 505 to 796 of the family's 1533-position model. The record is from RNAcentral.